CCGGAGGCCGAGAACAACAGCCGGGACGGAGCGGCUCGGGCAGAGCCGGGUCCCUCCAGCCCUGAAGGGGCCCGUCACAGCCGCGGGCCCAGGACCCAGGACACCCGCCCGUCUCCCAGGCUGGACCCGCGCCAGGUCCGUCCCCAGGUGGAAGGAGGGGGGUCCCCUCCCCAAGAAGGACCCAGGAUGUGUCUCGGGGCGGGAUUUUGGGGGGAAGGAAAGCCUCUCUGUGUUCCUGAGUGUGACCCAGACCAAGGUGACGGCAUUUCCCAGGUUCCAGGCACAGAAAACACCAAUGGCUGUCCUGCCGGGUCACACUUCCAGGUGGCGGGUGACGCUCACGGUGACGAAGAUAACCUCUCCUUCGCUCAGGGAGGUCGCGGGAGGAGGGCAGCGGGCACCUGUAUGGCGGCUUCUCAGCAGCUCUCCUGAGGGACAGUGUGACACCUUCGCUCGCUUAAGCGCACGGUGACGUCCGUCUGUCUGCCCUGCGCUCCCGCUGCCACGGAGGGUUCUGGAACAUUUUUGUUGCCCCAACAGAAAGCCCACCCCAGCCACCACCCACCAGGACGGUGGCUUUUACAUUUUUAAUAGAUGAAAACUA
Long non-coding RNA from Marmota flaviventris (yellow-bellied marmot), 604 nucleotides. RefSeq lists it as uncharacterized. The record is from RefSeq and is a predicted model, not a curated record. Lineage: Eukaryota; Metazoa; Chordata; Mammalia; Rodentia; Sciuridae.